AACGAACGCUGGCGGCAUGCCUAACACAUGCAAGUCGAACGAGACCUUCGGGUCUAGUGGCGCACGGGUGCGUAACGCGUGGGAACCUGCCCUUAGGUUCGGCAUAACUCCCCGAAAGGGGUGCUAAUACCGGAUAAUGUCUUCGGCCCAAAGAUUUAUUGCCUUUGGAUGGGCCCGCGUUGGAUUAGCUAGUUGGUAGGGUAAAAGCCUACCAAGGCGACGAUCCAUAGCUGGUCUGAGAGGAUGAUCAGCCACACUGGGACUGAGACACGGCCCAGACUCCUACGGGAAGCAGCAGUGGGGAAUAUUGGACAAUGGGCGAAAGCCUGAUCCAGCAAUGCCGCGUGAGUGAUGAAGGCCUUAGGGUUGUAAAGCUCUAUUACCCGGGAUGAUAAUGACAGUACCGGGAGAAUAAGCCCCGGCUAACUCCGUG
RNAcentral lists this ribosomal RNA (433 nucleotides) under uncultured bacterium. Its description in RNAcentral is "partial 16S ribosomal RNA". It matches the Rfam family "Bacterial small subunit ribosomal RNA", at positions 29 to 507 of the family's 1533-position model. The record is from RNAcentral.